RNAcentral lists this ribosomal RNA (406 nucleotides) under uncultured bacterium. Its description in RNAcentral is "partial 16S ribosomal RNA". It matches the Rfam family "Bacterial small subunit ribosomal RNA", at positions 30 to 526 of the family's 1533-position model. The record is from RNAcentral.
AUUGAACGCUGGCGGCAGGCCUAACACAUGCAAGUCGAACGAGUGGCGGACGGGUGAGUAAUGUCUGGGAAACUGCCUGAUGGAGGGGGAUAACUACAGGAAACGGUAGCUAAUACCGCAUACCAUCAGAUGUGCCCAGAUGUGAUUAGCUUGUUGGUGGGGUAACGGCUCACCAAGGCGACGAUCCCUAGCUGGUCUGAGAGGAUGACCAGCCACACUGGAACUGAGACACGGUCCAGACUCCUACGGGAGGCAGCAGUGGGGAAGAUUGUACAAUGGGCGCAAGCCGUAUGCAGCCAUGCCGCGUGUAUGAAGGAGGCCGUCGGGUUGUAAAGUACUUUCAGCGGGGAGGCGUUACCCGCAGAAGAAGCACCGGCUAACUCCGUGCCAGCCGCCUCGGUAAUUC